AACGAACGCUGGCGGCAUGCCUAACACAUGCAAGUCGAACGAAGCCUUCGGGCUUAGUGGCGCACGGGUGCGUAACGCGUGGGAAUCUGCCCCUUGCUUCGGAAUAACAGUUAGAAAUGACUGCUAAUACCGGAUGAAGUCUUCGGACCAAAGAUUUAUCGGCAAGGGAUGAGCCCGCGUAGGAUUAGGUAGUUGGUGGGGUAAAGGCCUACCAAGCCGACGAUCCUUAGCUGGUCUGAGAGGAUGAUCAGCCACACUGGGACUGAGACACGGCCCAGACUCCUACGGGAGGCAGCAGUGGGGAAUAUUGGACAGUGGACGCAAGUCUGAUCCAGCAAUGCCGGGUGAGUGAUGAAGGCCUUAGGGUUGUAAAGCUCUUUUACCAGGGAUGAUAAUGACAGUACCUGGAGAAUAAGCUCCGGCUAACUCCGUG
Molecule: ribosomal RNA, 433 nt
Filed under: uncultured bacterium
Lineage: Bacteria
Description: partial 16S ribosomal RNA
Rfam family: Bacterial small subunit ribosomal RNA
Source: RNAcentral